AUUGAACGCUGGCGGCAUGCCUUACACAUGCAAGUCGAACGGUAACAGGUCUUCGGAUGCUGACGAGUGGCGAACGGGUGCGUAAUACAUCGGAACGUGCCCGAUCGUGGGGGAUAACGGAGCGAAAGCUUUGCUAAUACCGCAUACGAUCUACGGAUGAAAGCAGGGGACCGCAAGGCCUUGCGCGGACGGAGCGGCCGAUGGCAGAGUAGGUAGUUGGUGGGAUAAAAGCUUACCAAGCCGACGAUCUGUAGCUGGUCUGAGAGGACGACCAGCCACAGGGGAACAGAGACAGGGGCCAGACUACUAAGGGAGGCAGCAGUGGGGCAUAGUGGACAAUGGGCGCAAGACUGAUCGAGCGAUACAGCGUGAGAGAAGAAGGAAUUCGGGUUGUAAAGACAUUUUGAAGGGAAAGAAAAGAAGCAGGUUAAUAACCAGCGGAUAUGACGGUACCAAAAGAAUAAGCACCGGCUAACUUCGUG
Molecule: ribosomal RNA, 482 nt
Filed under: uncultured bacterium
Lineage: Bacteria
Description: partial 16S ribosomal RNA
Rfam family: Bacterial small subunit ribosomal RNA
Source: RNAcentral